Molecule: long non-coding RNA, 765 nt
Organism: Homo sapiens (human)
Lineage: Eukaryota; Metazoa; Chordata; Mammalia; Primates; Hominidae
Exons: 2
Source: RefSeq, a predicted model, not a curated record
UUGGCCUCCCAAAAUGCUGGGAUUACAGGCAUGAGUCACUACACCUGGCCUUAAAAUGGCAGUUUUAAGCCACUGAUUUGGAGUAAUUUGUUAUACAGCAAUAGGUAACUAGAAUAAACACCUGUAAUCUUACAAGGAACUUUUUGGUUCUAUCUGAAUCUAAUCCAACUUCCACUUUCACUUUUCAAAGGGAUAACUGAGGCCUAGUUGCGGAAGAGACUGGCAAUCUGCCUACUAACCAGGAGUUUCUCCCACCACGCUCUCCUGACCAAGAAGGUGCCUUGGAGGAAGCAAGGCCUGUUCUGCCACAGGACAGGGUCUUGCUGUGUUACCCCGGAUGGAAUACAGUGGCACAAUCAUAGCUCACUGCAGCCUCAACUUUCUGGACUCAAUUGAUCCUCCCACCUCAGCCUCCACAGUAGCUGGGACUACAGGCGUGCACCACCAUGUCCAGCAAAUUCUUUAAUUUUUUGUAAAGACAGGGUCUCACUGUGUUGCCCAGGCUGGUCUGGAACUCCUGGACUCAAGUGAUCCUCCCACCUUGCCCUCCCGAAGUAUUUGGUUUACAGGCAUGAGCCACUCCUCCUGACCAGACACUGAUUUUUUGAAAAGAUCAAAUUAGGGGUCUUGCAGAUUAUCUCACAUUCUGGAUUUAUCUCAUUGCUUCAUCAUAGUGUCUAUUAAUUUGUUCCUUUAUCUUAUUUCCUGUAAACUGAAGUUAGGUCUGAAGGCUUGACUGUGAAUUAAACAUUUUUGGCAAGAAUA